UAGCGGAGGAAAAGAAACCAACAGGGAUUGCCUCAGUAACGGCGAGUGAAGCGGCAAGAGCUCAAAUUUGAAAGCUGGCUCCUUCGGGGCCCGCAUUGUAAUUUGCAGAGGAUGCUUCGGGAGCGGCCCCCAUCUAAGUGCCCUGGAACGGGCCGUCAUAGAGGGUGAGAAUCCCGUCUGGGAUGGGGUGCCCGCGCCCGUGUGAAGCUCCUUCGACGAGUCGAGUUGUUUGGGAAUGCAGCUCUAAAUGGGUGGUAAAUUUCAUCUAAAGCUAAAUACUGGCCGGAGACCGAUAGCGCACAAGUAGAGUGAUCGAAAGAUGAAAAGCACUUUGAAAAGAGAGUUAAACAGCACGUGAAAUUGUUGAAAGGGAAGCGCUUGCGACCAGACUCGCCCGCGGGGUUCAGCCGGCAUUCGUGCCGGUGUACUUCCCCACGGGCGGGCCAGCGUCGGUUUGGGCGGCCGGUCAAAGGCCCUCGGAAUGUAACGCCCCCCGGGGCGUCUUAUAGCCGAGGGUGCCAUGCGGCCAGCCCGGACCGAGGAACGCGCUUCGGCUCGGACGCUGGCAUAAUGGUCGUAAGCGACCCGUCUUGA
This 594-nucleotide ribosomal RNA is filed under the name Penicillium daleae. Its description in RNAcentral is "partial large subunit ribosomal RNA". It matches the Rfam family "Eukaryotic large subunit ribosomal RNA", at positions 48 to 657 of the family's 3401-position model. Lineage: Eukaryota; Fungi; Ascomycota; Eurotiomycetes; Eurotiales; Aspergillaceae. The record is from RNAcentral.